UUCUGCUUGAAAAUUUUUACAUAAAAUUAAAGUCUGUCAUAAUACUUUAUCUUCUGUUUGUGGUUAGAGUAGGUGUCUUUACUUUCUUUAUGAUCUCUUUGUUCAGGUAAGAAGGGCUAUACUGGAGUGAAAUCAUAACUUUAGUUACAUCGUAACAUUAGAAACGGGCACACUCUUGUAAACAACUGCAACAAAUGGAGAUUAUGCUUAACAGAAAAUAUAUAAAAAUAUUACAUGUACCACGUGUGUUCAUGUUAAUAAGCAAAUUGUUGAAAGUUAAUAUCUCUAUAUUCAAGAUAUAGCUAUUAAAUAUGUAAUACAUAACAUUAAUACACAUUACACAUGUAGUAUUUUAUUUAUUAUUUCUAAACUGUCACUUGUUUUAUUACUCAUAUUUUUGAUGCAGUAAAAAACAAACUAGGAAUUAAUCCUUUAAAGAAGUAUAAAAAUAAAUCGCGAUCAAGGAACUCGCUGGAGUAUAAAUUGGCAUAAGUAGAUACUAAAGUCUGGUAUUUUUAUACUACCCAGAAAGCUAUUAUAAUAAUUCAAGUGAAGGGUGAAUGACCACAAUGUUGAUUAAAAAAAUAGAUCUGUAGAAGAUUACUGAUAAAGUACACAUGUGAAAUCAACUGGUCCAGUGGCCUCUGCAAUUAUAUGGAAAGCUUUAUUCAUACUAUACACAUCUAUGUCUUUCUCCUGCUACUGAACAUUUUUGAUCUAGGUCAACAGUUCAUGUUAUAGAGACAGU
RNAcentral lists this long non-coding RNA (748 nucleotides) under Homo sapiens (human). Its description in RNAcentral is "non-protein coding lnc-BMP2-6:1". The record is from RNAcentral. Lineage: Eukaryota; Metazoa; Chordata; Mammalia; Primates; Hominidae.